UACUUACUGGUCAUGCCACGGCAGGAAUUACUGGGUGUAAAGGGAGUGUAGGCGACCCCUUAAGUUGAAUGUAAAAUCUCCCGGCUCAACUGGGAGGGGUCAUUCAAUACUGAGGGGAUUUGUGGGCAGGAGAGGGAAGUGGAAUUCCCGGUGUAGCGGUAAAAUGCGUAGAUAUCGGGAGGAACGCCAGUGGCGAAGGCGGCUUCCUGGUCUGUCCCUGACGCUGAGGCGCGAAAGCCAGGGGAGCAAACGGG
Molecule: ribosomal RNA, 254 nt
Filed under: uncultured bacterium
Lineage: Bacteria
Description: partial 16S ribosomal RNA
Rfam family: Bacterial small subunit ribosomal RNA
Source: RNAcentral